CUCCUGGCCAAGGACUCUCUGGGACACGCUCGACUUUACUGAAAGUUUGGUGAAACUAAAAGCAGUUUACAGAACAAUAACACAAUUUUCAAUAUUGGAGAUUUCUGGACUUAAAG
Sapajus apella (tufted capuchin) is the source of this 116-nucleotide long non-coding RNA. RefSeq lists it as uncharacterized. The record is from RefSeq and is a predicted model, not a curated record. Lineage: Eukaryota; Metazoa; Chordata; Mammalia; Primates; Cebidae. The transcript has 2 exons.